AACGUAGGAGACGAACGUUAUCCGGAGUUACUGGGCGUAAAGGGCGUGCAGGCGGCCUGAUAAGUUCGGCGUGAAAUUUCUCGGCUUAACCGAGGGAUGUCGUCGGAGACUGUUGGGCUCGAGGGUGAUAGAGGCGUGUGGAAUUCCGGGUGUAGUGGUGAAAUGCGUAGAGAUCCGGAGGAACACCAGUGGCGAAGGCGACACGCUGGGUCAUACCUGACGCUAAAACGCGACAGCAUGGGGAGCGAAC
Molecule: ribosomal RNA, 250 nt
Filed under: uncultured bacterium
Lineage: Bacteria
Description: partial 16S ribosomal RNA
Rfam family: Bacterial small subunit ribosomal RNA
Source: RNAcentral